GGCUCCUAUGGUCCAGCGGUUACGACCUCUCUUUUUCACGGAGAAAACGAGGGUUCAAGUCCCUCUGGGGUAUACUAAGACUCAAGACGAUAGGAGUGGGAUUUUCUAUCAAGUGAUCUAUAUUUGUCAAGUCCUUCUAAUAGUCUACUCAGUGGGACUUUGUAUUUUAGAUCAAGUGAUAUGUAUUUAUCAAAUCUGCCUGGGGACAAUAUUGUGGAACGUCUAAAAUAAAUUAGGCGUUGGGUCGAUGCCCGAGUGGUUAAUGGGGACGGACUGUAAAUUCGUUGACAAUAUGUCUACGCUGGUUCAAAUCCAGCUCGGCCCAAC
Molecule: transfer RNA, 327 nt
Filed under: Helianthus annuus (common sunflower)
Lineage: Eukaryota; Viridiplantae; Streptophyta; Magnoliopsida; Asterales; Asteraceae
Description: sRNA HanXRQr2_Chr16g0757551
Rfam family: tRNA (bases 242-325)
Source: RNAcentral